UCCGAAGGACUACCGGCGGAGAAGGCGCCCCCAUGGACAGAUACUGACACUCAGAUGUGAAAGCGUGGGGAGCAAACAGGAUUAGAUACCGUGGUAGUCCACGCCGUAAACGAUGUCUACUUGGAGGUUGCGGCCUUGAGCCGUGGCUUUCGGAGCUAACGCGUUAAGUAGACCGCCUGGGGAGUACGGUCGCAAGAUUAAAACUCAAAUGAAUUGACGGGGGCCCGCACAAGCGGUGGAGCAUGUGGUUUAAUUCGAUGCAACGCGAAGAACCUUACCUACUCUUGACAUCCAGAGAACUUUCCAGAGAUGGAUUGGUGCCUUCGGGAACUCUGAGACAGGUGCUGCAUGGCUGUCGUCAGCUCGUGUUGUGAAAUGUUGGGUUAAGUCCCGCAACGAGCGCAACCCUUAUCCUUGUUUGCCAGCACUUCGGGUGGGAACUCCAGGGAGACUGCCGGUGAUAAACCGGAGGAAGGUGGGGACGACGUCAAGUCAUCAUGGCCCUUACGAGUAGGGCUACACACGUGCUACAAUGGCGCAUACAGAGGGCAGCCAACUUGCGAGAGUGAGCGAAUCCCAAAAAGUGCGUCGUAGUCCGGAUCGGAGUCUGCAACUCGACUCCGUGAAGUCGGAAUCGCUAGUAAUCGUGGAUCAGAAUGCCACGGUGAAUACGUUCCCGGGCCUUGUACACACCGCCCGUCACACCA
Molecule: ribosomal RNA, 707 nt
Filed under: Vibrio sp.
Lineage: Bacteria; Pseudomonadati; Pseudomonadota; Gammaproteobacteria; Vibrionales; Vibrionaceae
Description: bacterial SSU rRNA
Rfam family: Bacterial small subunit ribosomal RNA
Source: RNAcentral